CCUACGGGUGGCAGCAGUGAGGAAUAUUGGUCAAUGGGCGCGAGCCUGAACCAGCCAAGUCGCGUGAGGGAAUACUGUCCUAUGGAUUGUAAACCUCUUUUGUCGGGGAGCAAAAGACGCCACGCGUGGCGUUUCGAGAUUACCCGAAGAAAAAGCACGGGUUAACUCGGUCCCAGCGGCCGGGUGAAAACGGGGGAUGCGAGCGUUAACCGGAUUUAUGGGGUUUAAGGGGGGAGCAGGCGGUUGGUUAAGGCAGCGUUAAAAGCGCGGGGCUCAACCCCGGCCGGCCGUUGAAACUGGCGGUCUCGAGUUGGAGAGAAGUAUGCGGAAUGCGCGGUGUAGCGGUGAAAUGCAUAGAUAUCGCGCAGAACUCCGAUUGCGAAGGCAGCAUACCGGCUCCACACUGACGCUGAGGCACGAAAGCGUGGGUAUCGAACAGGAUUAGAUACCCCAGUAGUC
Molecule: ribosomal RNA, 459 nt
Filed under: uncultured bacterium
Lineage: Bacteria
Description: partial 16S ribosomal RNA
Rfam family: Bacterial small subunit ribosomal RNA
Source: RNAcentral